CCCCUGUGACAUACCAAUUGUUGCCUCGGCGGAUCAGCCCGCUCCCGGUAAAACGGGACGGCCCGCCAGAGGACCCCUAAACUCUGUUUCUAUAUGUAACUUCUGAGUAAAACCAUAAAUAAAUCAAAACUUUCAACAACGGAUCUCUUGGUUCUGGCAUCGAUGAAGAACGCAGCAAAAUGCGAUAAGUAAUGUGAAUUGCAGAAUUCAGUGAAUCAUCGAAUCUUUGAACGCACAUUGCGCCCGCCAGUAUUCUGGCGGGCAUGCCUGUUCGAGCGUCAUUUCAACCCUCAAGCCCCCGGGUUUGGUGUUGGGGAUCGGCGAGCCUCACGGCAAGCCGGCCCCGAAAUACAGUGGCGGUCUCGCUGCAGCUUCCAUUGCGUAGUAGUAAAACCCUCGCAACUGGUACGCGGCGCGGCCAAGCCGUUAAACCCCCAACUUCUGAAUGUUGACCUCGGAUCAGGUAGGAAUACCCGCUGAACUUAAGCAUAUCAAUAAGCGGAGGAA
This 507-nucleotide ribosomal RNA is filed under the name Fusarium thapsinum. RNAcentral describes it as "eukaryotic LSU rRNA". The stretch from base 128 to 281 matches the Rfam family "5.8S ribosomal RNA". Lineage: Eukaryota; Fungi; Ascomycota; Sordariomycetes; Hypocreales; Nectriaceae. The record is from RNAcentral.